AACGCGAAGAACCUUACCAGGUCUUGACAUCCCUCUGAAUCUGCUAGAGAUAGCAGCGGCCUUCGGGACAGAGGAGACAGGUGGUGCAUGGUUGUCGUCAGCUCGUGUCGUGAGAUGUUGGGUUAAGUCCCGCAACGAGCGCAACCCUUGAAUUCAGUUGCCAGCACAUCAUGGUGGGCACUCUGAAUUGACUGCCGGUGACAAACCGGAGGAAGGCGGGGAUGACGUCAAAUCAUCAUGCCCCUUAUGACCUGGGCUACACACGUACUACAAUGGCCGGUACAACGGGCCGCGAAACCGCGAGGUGGAGCCAAUCCUAAAAAGCCGGUCUCAGUUCGGAUUGCAGGCUGCAACUCGCCUGCAUGAAGUCGGAAUUGCUAGUAAUCGCGGAUCAGCAUGCCGCGGUGAAUACGUUCCCGGGCCUUGUACACACCGUAGUAC
Molecule: ribosomal RNA, 441 nt
Filed under: uncultured bacterium
Lineage: Bacteria
Description: bacterial SSU rRNA
Rfam family: Bacterial small subunit ribosomal RNA
Source: RNAcentral